AUGGAAGAAGAAAUUGAUGAAACUGUGAGCUCAUUGGAUGAAAAAGAUGAUGAGGAGAGCAAAGAACAAAAGGAGGAAGAGCGGAUUAGCUACCCGUGCCCACCUUCUAAUAAGAGUAACUCUUCAACUCAUACAUUGUUUAAAUUCCCUUCGUGCUUACCGAAGGAUGAUUGCUAUGAUGACUGUUAUGAUCCCGUUGAUUCUUUUGAAAUAUCCCUUUUUGAUGAUGCUUGCUAUGCUUGUGGCCAAGAUACCAAUAUGAAGUAUGCUUAUGGAGAUGAACUUUCUAUAGUUCCUUAUGUUAAACAUGAAAUUGUUGCUAUUGCACCCACACAUGAUAGUCCUAUUAUCCUUUUGAAUUCUCUCGACUGCACUAUAUCGGAGAAGUUUGCACUUAUUAAGGAUUAUAUUGAUGGGUUGUGUUUUAAUAUUACACAUAAUAAUUUUGAUGAAUAUAAUAUGCAUGUGCUUUCUGCUCCUACUUGCAAUUAUUAUGAGAGAGGAACUAUAUCUCCACCUCUCUAUGUUUCCAAUACGAUAAAAUUGCAAGAAAUUGUUUAUACUAUGCAUUGGCCUUUACUAUGUGUGCAUGAAUUGUUCUUUUAUGACAUGCCGAUUCAUAGGAAGAGAGUUAGACUUCGGCAUUGCUUGAUAUAUGUUACUUUGUGA
Molecule: ribosomal RNA, 669 nt
Filed under: Triticum aestivum (bread wheat)
Lineage: Eukaryota; Viridiplantae; Streptophyta; Magnoliopsida; Poales; Poaceae
Description: partial small subunit ribosomal RNA
Source: RNAcentral